This 367-nucleotide unclassified non-coding RNA is filed under the name uncultured fungus. RNAcentral's name for it is "partial contains 5.8S ribosomal RNA and internal transcribed spacer 2". The stretch from base 1 to 133 matches the Rfam family "5.8S ribosomal RNA", at positions 22 to 154 of the family's 154-position model. Lineage: Eukaryota; Fungi. The record is from RNAcentral.
UGGCUCUCGCAUCGAUGAAGAACGCAGCGAAAUGCGAUAAGUAAUGUGAAUUGCAGAAUUCAGUGAAUCAUCGAAUCUUUGAACGCACCUUGCGCUCCUUGGUAUUCCGAGGAGCACAUCCGUUUGAGUGUCAUGGUAUUCUCAACCUCGAUAACUUCUGUUAACGAGGCUUGGACUUGGAGGUCGUGUUGGCUCUCGUUAGUCAGCUCCUCUUAAAUGCAUUAGCGUGAACGUUACGGAUCGCUAUCAGUGUGAUAAUUAUCUGCGCUGUUGGUGUUGAAGUAUGUUAAGCUUGCGCUUCUAACCGUCCUUUAGUUGGACAUUUACUUGACAAUCUGACCUCAAAUCGGAUGGGACUACCCGCUGA